Molecule: long non-coding RNA, 396 nt
Organism: Xiphophorus hellerii (green swordtail)
Lineage: Eukaryota; Metazoa; Chordata; Actinopteri; Cyprinodontiformes; Poeciliidae
Exons: 2
Source: RefSeq, a predicted model, not a curated record
GUAGCUCGGCGAUCGUCAAAUUGGAAUCAGAGAAGAACGUCGUUGCGAAAAAGGAAGUGUCUGUUCACCACGCCCCGUUUGACUGGCGCCAUCUUGUGGAUGUGUGGGGUUGGGAUAGAUGUUAGCUGCCCUUUUCCUGACCUGACCUGUACAAGUCCUGGAUGGAACGACGGUCGGCCCUAAGGAUCCGCCCUGCAGACUUAAUUGUUUGGUACAGAUUGGACCUGUCCUGUUCUGUGGACAAGUCAAAUCACACAAUGUAAACCACAAAAUUAUGUUUCUGUUUUAUACAUUUUAAAAGAUAGUAAUCUUAUUGGGAUUUUGUAAUGAUUAUGUGUGCCUGCAUUUUAAAGAAGCAGUGAUUUAAAAAAAAAAUAAAAACACUCUUGCACAUCA